CGCGAGCCGAGCGCAACGAAAAAGCCGUUGGACGACGCCGCCGCGUAAUUAAUGUCAGUUUUCGGCCACAAUUUCGCCACUAAGUCGACCAGCAAUGUUCUUAAGUCGGUGAUUGCAGUGAAAUCCGAAUCCUGUCCUGUUCAACCCUCCCAGCAAAGAUGCCGCAAAUCAAAGACCUGUGCCAGAGGCUGACUUUUUGUGUGACAACAAUUCAACUCGAGCAAGCUGUGUCCUGAAACUUUGCGAUCCCCACACACUAUGUAAUGUAAUUAUUGAAAGGAUGUCUGGUUUGCAGCUGAAGUGCAAGAUCAAUACAAGCUAACAGGCUUGUAUACUCUGGCUGCGGCAGAUCAGGCCGACGAUGUCAAGACACGGUCAUGGAUGGGAAGAGCUUCCAGCACGAUGGAUUCCAGCCUGCACUGAACUUAUGCUGCAUUUUCCAGUCUUAAAUCUGCUGGUGCUAUUUAUGACUCGGAUGGAAUCGACGCGACUUCGGAGCUCAAAGACGAAUAGCUUACAUAAUUAUGUGACAGGACUUCUGAUUGCUGGACCACAACUUUGACGAAGAUUGAGUGGUUCAUGUGUAAUUUUGUUUUUAAGUGAGGCUAUUUUUUAGCUAAAUUGUUAUAUUUUAUGUAUAGAGAAUUCAUUUUAAGGCUAAUAGCUAUUGCAUACACAUACCUGUGUUCACUGUAAUGUUGAUAUUAAAAUUAAAUUAAAUUCCAAACAUUAUUUUAGUGAAUACAGGUAUGUGUGCAAUAAAUUUAUGUUGAAGCUGACAUUCAUUCAUUGAAUUUUCUUUGCCAGAAACGUUUAGGCAGCUGGAAAUUUUAAAUUAAAUAUUUUUGAUAGUCAUUAUAGGAUUUAAAUUUGCCAUUUGUGUAAGCCUUCAGUGUUCGAAGUCGGCGUAGCCGUAUAUACUUCCAAUUUAAAUUCCCAUUGACUUAAGUCAAGGAUUUAAUCAUGCUAUUUUAUGGGUUUUAAAUAAUUUAUUUUGAUUCUGAGAACCUAAAUCAGUUCAGCCAAUCUCCGUAGAAACAUGGAAAUAAUAUUUUUAUCAAAUCUGACGUUUCGAAGGGGAUUUGCUAGACUGACUUUUGCUUUUAGUACAUCAAAUCAAAUCAAUUAAAGGGUUUUGAAUGCAGAGCGGUAAGAUCGUGUGUCUUUAUUUUCUCAAUCUUAUUUUCUCAAUUAAAAGAAACAGCUGGCACCAUUUUUCGGGAGCAUUAUUACACUAAGGGGUUUUCGAAGCGUGUGAAUGUUAAAAUUUUUAAGCGUUCUUAAUUAAUUUUCUUGUUUCUCAUAACUUUAUUGACACUACUGUAAAUUGAUAAAAAUUCUCUGUAUUGAUCUAUUGUUACUGUACAUGUAUUGUGUCAUCUUUUUGUAAUCAAAAUUGUAUAAUAAUAAAUAAAUAAAAAAA
Long non-coding RNA from Cloeon dipterum, 1423 nucleotides. RefSeq lists it as uncharacterized. The record is from RefSeq and is a predicted model, not a curated record. The transcript is spliced from 4 exons. NCBI's taxonomy places the organism in Eukaryota, Metazoa, Arthropoda, Insecta, Ephemeroptera, Baetidae.